CGGGUGAGUAAUACCUCGGAACUUUCUUUUAGUUGAGCAUAUCCUCCCGAAAGGGAGAGUAAUACUCGAUGUGAUCGCAAGAUUAAAGUCGCAAGACGCUAAAAGUGAGGCUGGGGCCCCAUCAGCUAGUUGGUAGGGUAAUGGCCUACCAAGGCAAUGACGGGUAGCGGAAGCGAGAGCUUGAUCCGCCACACUGGGACUGCGACACGGCCCAGACUCCUACGGGAGGCAGCAGUUUGGAAUUUUGGACAAUGGGCGAAAGCCUGAUCCAGCGACGCCGCGUGCACGAAGAAGGCCUUCGGGUUGUAAAGUGCUUUUGCUUGGGAAAAAUUUUGAUUGUACCAAGAGAAUAAGAGGUUGCUAACUCUGUGCCAGCAGCAGCGGUAAUACAGAGACCUCAAGCGUUAUCCGGAAUCAUUGGGCGUAAAGCGUUCCGAUAGGUGGUUUACUAAGUUUUGGGUAAAAGCCAGAAGCUCAACUUCUGCGUUUGCUCAAGAUACUGGUAGACUAGAGGGACAAAGAGGUGGCUGGAACCAACGGUGUAGUAGUGAAAUGCGUUGAUAUCGUUGGGAAC
This 574-nucleotide ribosomal RNA is filed under the name uncultured bacterium. RNAcentral describes it as "bacterial SSU rRNA". It matches the Rfam family "Bacterial small subunit ribosomal RNA", at positions 103 to 707 of the family's 1533-position model. The record is from RNAcentral.